UUUUUGAUAUACUAUUUAAGGCUAUAUUUGUUUGGGUAUACUACAUAAUUUCUCUUAAGUAGUUUUAUGAAAAAUCAUCUAACCUUUGUAGGUCGAUUGAUUGAUCCUGAACAUUUUUGGCUAUUUGAUCACAACUUUGAGACACUUUUCAUAAAACAUUUUUAUGAUCGUUAACAUUUUUGCAACACAUAGACUGUAAUAUAAGAACUUUAUUAGAUAGUGCCUUCAGGCACGGGCAAUCUCUGUUAUUUUUUAAAAAGGUGUUAUUUUUAAAAUGAAAGUGGUAUUUGAUGAAUCUUUUUUCUCUUUGUUUCACUUUUUCAGGUUGGUGAUGAUAUACGGACGAUGAUCCAAGUUAGGUUUUUUUUCCAAUCAAUUUGUUUCGUAUGAAUAAAAAUUUCAGCAUCGACAACCACCCUCCCUUCGAACUCGCACUCGCAAGAUCAGUUUAUUGCAUUCCAGUAGAUCAGUUUAUGGCUAUGUCUGGUUUGUCUAUAUGGUUGCAACACCACCACCGCUGCUCAUCAUCACCACUGCCGCUGUUGAUGCAAAACCCACUUCAUGCUCAAACAGAAUGUGUUCAAGGAAAGCUUCAAAUCUGGCCAUAGAGCAAAUGAAGAUGUUCACUUGAUAGUGAGGAAAUCUCUAGUCCUCGAUUUCUGCCUCUCGAACUCGGCUCGCAAGG
Molecule: non-coding RNA, 685 nt
Organism: Camellia sinensis
Lineage: Eukaryota; Viridiplantae; Streptophyta; Magnoliopsida; Ericales; Theaceae
Source: RefSeq, a predicted model, not a curated record